RNAcentral lists this ribosomal RNA (200 nucleotides) under uncultured bacterium. RNAcentral describes it as "partial 16S ribosomal RNA". It matches the Rfam family "Bacterial small subunit ribosomal RNA", at positions 28 to 227 of the family's 1533-position model. The record is from RNAcentral.
GAUGAACGCUAGCGGCAGGCCUAAUACAUGCAAGUCGAACGAUACCAAUGGGCUUGCUCAUUGGGAAAGUGGCGCACGGGUGCGUAACGCGUAUGCAACCUACCUUAAUCAGGGGGAUAGCCCGAAGAAAUUCGGAUUAACUCCGCAUAAAAACACAGUACAGCAUUGUACAAUGUUCAAAUAUUUAUAGGAUUAAGAUG